RNAcentral lists this long non-coding RNA (1902 nucleotides) under Fragaria vesca (wild strawberry). Its description in RNAcentral is "long non-coding RNA (FVES_LNC001456)". Lineage: Eukaryota; Viridiplantae; Streptophyta; Magnoliopsida; Rosales; Rosaceae. The record is from RNAcentral.
AAGGAAGUAAUUCUAUUAAAAUUAUCACUCAAUCGAGCGAGUUGAAUACAAAUGUAUCGUAACAUAUCCAAAUAACUUGUUGGGAUACAAAUGUAUCGUAACACAUAACACAUCUAAAUAACUUGUUGGAGCGUCAUCAAAAUAAGAAAAAAUUGUGUUAUCAUCAAUUCAAAAUGGCGAUUGCAUACCCUCACGUUGUCAUAUACAAACAGAACAAAAAGUUAACGUAAUACCCACAGUGAUACAUAUGAAUAGGGUCCAUUUAUUCAACAAAUCAAACUUCGCUAUAGGUUAACUUGAAUCCUCUUUUGGUACUACGUCAGAAGAUUCGCUAUGACUACUUGUGUCAACCCAAAACAUAGUUCGUGUCAUACCUUCAGAAUUCCAUACACGAAACGCUAGAGAAUUAGAGUCCAUUAUCCUUGUCUACAAAUGGACACCCAACGUGUUUCAACAAAUCUUGGCUUUUGACAUGUAAUGGGUCACCCAUUGGGCUUUGAAUUUGAUCUAGGCACCCACCCAAACAUUAAAUGUUGCUCAAACCCACUCGUCGUCUGUCGAAAGAGAGGCAGAUUAUAACAAGAGACUCCAGCCACCACUUGUUGAACCUUCUUCGAAGUCCAUCUUUGUAUGUAAGAGCAACUAUCAAUGUCGGUCCACAUCAAAACCCGUCCCAAAUCAUACGGCCAAAUCGUCCUUCUAAGAUUCGCCGCCUUCCUCCACCACUCAAGCGAAUCAAUCAUUGUUGAGUGUCAAUUCCGACCGUCGACGAUUCCUCCCUGUCCUCGAUUCCACAUACCUCGACACACCCCGGCGCGCAUAACCUUACGUUUCAGUCAUCGGAACGAAGCCUAACAUUGGAGGUCGGCGAUUUUCUCCUCAAGGUCAUUAGGUAGUCACUAGAAUUAAUGAAAUCAUAGUGACUGCCUAAGAAAAUUACAAAUCCAUUAUUUGUAGUAUAGAUUAGCGAUGUAAUUGGGUAAAGUAAUUUCCCAGAAAGGAAAGGGAUGACAAAGUAGUAUAAUGACUAUAAUCAGUAGCGCAGCGCGUGUGUUGCGGGAGUGGGCAAAGCAUUUAAAAUAAAUCGGCAUGUGAUUAAAUGAUAACAAAAUACGGUAAAACUACGAUAAGUUACUAAGUUAGAAGCUGAUCGCGCGUGAGGAGCGUGGGUGUGAGACGUUGACUGGGAGCGAGGUCGGACGCCGAGUUUGAAAAUUCAAAUAGUCGCCGGUUUGGAGCAAACAAGAAGAAGAAGGAGGAGCAAGGAAGAUUCCUGAACGAGGCAGAAAACAAAUUUUAAAGGUGCGUCGCGUGCGCUCGUCUCUACGGACAAUAUUACAAAUAUGGGCUAUGUCUGAUUGGGCCCUACUUGAUUGCAAUUAUGUAGUCAAAUCCAACUGUACUGUGUUGCUGGAUUCAUUUAAUUCAGUGUAAAUAAUGGUUUUUCAUUAACAAAAAUGAAAAUUAGACAUAUGUCAUUAAGGUUUUCUCGAUUAGUUUUCUAAGUAUUUCUUAAAUGAGAUUAGUAGAUGUCUCUUAAUCAUCAGUCAGCUGACGCCAGAAAAAUAUGGGACGGGUGGUAAUAGGAUUAGAAAAUUUAUAGUAGGAAUUUUAAAUCAGUAUUUUAAUUAUUUUUAAAACAAUUUAUGUGUUAUUUAGUGUCUCAUGGUUCAAUUUAUAUAAUUUAAAAGAGAUAUAUGUUUGUUAAUUUACUUGUUUGUUUGUGAAAGUGUUCACAUUAGAAAUUUAAUUUAAUGAUCCAUGAUUUAUGUCUUAAAAUGUCGUGUAGGUCAAAUUGGCGACUGAUCAACUUGUUCAUGACAUGAAUCUUAUGUUGCUUCACUAUGGAGUUGCAUGCUCUUCUCAUAGCAUGUUCCAUUUUGAAGGAUGAAAGCGGUGGAA